CAAUAAAACAAGUGAGGAUAAAUAACAAACUUAACAUAAUUAAGGAUUUAUGGCAAGAUGGUAGUGAAAUGUAGUUUAAAGAUUAGAUUUGUAAUUAGCAACUAAGUGAAGGGGGUAAAGUGCAAAGUGAUUAAACUUAAAUUAGUAAAAAAAAAAAAAAAACAAACAAACUAAACCCCAAACACAGUGAGUGUGUCUGGGGGAACGAUCGAACAAGGAAGGAGGAGGGGGAAACCCUAAACUCAAGAAAUCAAGUAAUUGAAGCCUAAAAUCAUAAGAAAAUCCAGUGCAUGAGCCAUCUUAUCGAUCAUCUAAGCAUACCUAGUGAAGUGCUUGAAAGAAUAAGAACCAUGUCAAGAUGGACCAACUCAUGGGAAGCAAACGGGUCAAAGAGGAGGCAAAGAAACUAGCAUAAACAUGAUGAGCACAAGGUUAUGAAUGUCGGACUUUCAAAGUGUUGAUAUAAUAAUGAAACGGUUGAAUCUUGAAAGGAUAAUCGGAUUGAAGUAACUUAUGCGGGUAAGCGCAAUUGUUGGAAGAGAUGAUCCGUGAAUGCGGUCUAGGACCGGCAUCGAGGCAAGUAAUGAAACAAAUUGACCCCAGGUACGUAAACCUAACGUAUGGGCGUAUGAAAUGGUAUGGUUAAGCAAGUGAAAGAAAAAUUUUGAACAAAUUAUGAUAACGACAUGGUAAAUAACUUUUGAAAAUGUUACACGAGCCGAAACUGAAUUCUUCGGACAUAAGGUGGCAAUUACGCGAAGACACGAAACUAGUACGUGGAAUGUGUACCUGGCCAAUACACAAGAAACGUAUGAAGUUCGUGAGACCGUGAUAAUUAUUACAGGUAUGUCCGAUAGAGUUUGGUAGCAGCUAGGCGUGUGGGUGAAAUGGGUAGUAAGACUCUCGGGGGAUUGAGAGUACCUUCAAGGAAUGAAGUAUGCGAAUGCAAUGCUUGAAUCCGCGAGACGGAUUCAAGGAAUGAAGUAUGCGAAUGCAAUGCUUGAAUCCGCGAGACGGAUUCAAGGAAUGAAGUAUGCGAAUGCAAUGCUUGAAUCCGCGAGACGGAUUCAAGGAAUGAAGUAUGCGAAUGCAAUGCUUGAAUCCGCGAGACGGAUUCAAGGAAUGAAGUAUACGAAUGCAAUGCUUGAAUCCGCGAGACGGAUUCAAGGAAUGAAAUAUGCGAAUGAAAUGAUUGAAUCCACAAGACGAAUUCAAGGAAUGAAAUAUACGAAUGCAAUGCUUGAAUCCGCGAGACGGAUUCAAGGAAUGAAAUAUGCGAAUGAAAUGAUUGAAUCCACAAGACGAAUUCAAGGAAUGAAAGAGGUGAAUGCAAUAUUUGAAUUCAUGAGACAGAUUCAAAACGUGAAAGGUACGAAAGGUAUGAGUAAGGUGUUCGAAUCCGUGAAAUGGACUUAAGGUAUAAACGACUAAGGCUAGUCUACUUGAGAAGAAGCCAAUAGUCUGACCAUAAUUAUGUCAUACAAGUCAUAUAAGUAAACAUAAAGCAAAUGAACAAAAGUAUGAUAGGAGUGAAAAUAUCCGAAGGUGUAAGGAAUUACGAACCAGACAAGUAAAUGUUUCUUAAGUGAUAUGAUUCAAACUAUGCUUAAAUUUUCAUAUAUAUAUUUAUAUAUAUAUGAAUGUAUUUAUGUGAAUGCGUUGCAUGCGAGAGGGUCGAAAGGAUAAACGGGUCAUGCGGGUCAGAUGGCGAUUGCCAUUGGGCUCGUUAGUUAAUGUUUUGAUAUUUUAAGUUUUGUACUCGUAGGUGAGCUUGAUGAAUGGACACGCAAUGUCACUAAUCGGAAAGGAAUGAUCUACGUAAGGUAUGGAUAACAAAUCAACGGAAUCUACUUCCGUCAGCUUGAAAGAAUAAGAACCAUGUCAAGAUGGACCAACUCAUGGGAAGCAAACGGGUCAAAGAGGAGGCAAAGAAACUAGCAUAAACAUGAUGAGCACAAGGUAAGUGAUUUCUAUAAUCACUUCUUUAGUUGUUUAAGUAAUAUAAUGUUUUAAUUAUUAAGUUCAUAUGAAGUUGAGGUCAAAUCAAUAGAUUAUUUUGAUAAAUGCACGAAUGGGUCGAAUAAUUUAUAGAUAAAUAACAAGCCGAAUACGUAUAAGUUAAGAAAUUCCUUAACUCGGAUGUUGGACUUCAAGGUCACAUGAUAGAAUAUUAAAUUACAAUCAUAUAGGAAGAAACGUGACGCAAAACGGAUGAAAAAUGAGAGAGUUAUGUCCGUUUCGGUAAGGAUUAAUGGCUAGGAAAAGUGCAGAGUUGACACGGCCGGGUGGUGAACUGACACGGUCGGGUGAAGGUUCUGUCAAAAAUAUUAUUUAUGUGAUUUAUGCGCCGUAGGUUGCGGUAUAUUAUCCGUGAAUUACGACGGGCCUCCCAAACAUGAUUUCGAGUGUUUCCUUGACGAUUAUAAGUUGUAAACCCAAGUCUAAGCCUCAUGUAAUUUAUAUAAGAGUGUGUUAGAUGUAUGUAAUGAGGUUGGACAUGUAUUACAUGUAAAUGUAUACAAAAAUACGUACGGAACACGUAGGUAUGAAUACAUGAUUGUAGGUAUGAUUAAAUGUAUUUUAGGUAUGUAGAUGUGUAUGAUUGUAAGAUUGUAUGUGUGCAAGUAUGUGCGAAUGCAUGAUUUGGAUGCACUUGAGAAUUAGCGUUACUAAUAAUGCCCUUGGGUUUGGAAUAUAAGUUAAUUGGAUGCAUUUAAAUGGUUGACGUCCUUUUUAUGAAGAUGUAGUAAAUGAAUAUGUUGAGAUUACGGGUUUGGCUAACCAAGUUAUUAUUGAGUAUGUUUGAAAGUGCAGGUUAUGAAUGUCGGACUUUCAAAGUGUUGAUAUAAUAAUGAAACAGUUGAAUCUUGAAAGGAUAAUCGGAUUGAAGUAACUUAUGCGGUUAGAAUAUGCUGUGGACGUUUUAGUUUAUACAACAUUUUAUGUUUGGUCGUCAUCAUCUACCAACGGGUAAAUCCUCAAUUCAGGCGACUUGGAGAAUCGGAGCGAGCGCGUGUUCAUGUUAUGUCAUACCAAACGCUUCCGCUAGCUUGUUCAAAUGUUUUUAGUCCAAAAUUUGUUGUAUUGGUUCUUAGUAGUAUUUUGUCGAAUGAAUCGUAGAAUUGUAUCUAGUUUGAUUAUGUUUAAAACAGGGGAAUGCUCGUUUUAUGGACGGGUCAUGCCCAAUUUUUGUUAAAUUAAUGCACCUGCGUUAUUGAUAUUAUCAUUUAA
Helianthus annuus (common sunflower) is the source of this 3231-nucleotide long non-coding RNA. RefSeq lists it as uncharacterized. The record is from RefSeq and is a predicted model, not a curated record. NCBI's taxonomy places the organism in Eukaryota, Viridiplantae, Streptophyta, Magnoliopsida, Asterales, Asteraceae. The transcript is spliced from 6 exons.